GACGAACGCUGGCGGCGUGCUUAACACAUGCAAGUCGAGCGGUAAGGCCCUUUCGGGGGUACACGAGCGGCGAACGGGUGAGUAACACGUGGGUGACCUGCCCUCAGCUCUGGGAUAAGCCUGGGAAACCGGGUCUAAUACUGGAUAUGACUCCAUGACGCAUGUUGUGGGGUGGAAAGCCUUGUGCGGCUGAGGAUGGGCCCGCGGCCUAUCAGCUUGUUGGUGGGGUGANAGGCCUACCAAGGCGACGACGGGUAGCCGGCCUGAGAGGGCGACCGGCCACACUGGGACUGAGACACGGCCCAGACUCCUACGGGAGGCAGCAGUGGGGAAUCUUGCGCAAUGGGCGAAAGCCUGACGCAGCGACGCCGCGUGAGGGAUGACGGCCUCGG
This 392-nucleotide ribosomal RNA is filed under the name uncultured bacterium. RNAcentral's name for it is "bacterial SSU rRNA". It matches the Rfam family "Bacterial small subunit ribosomal RNA", at positions 28 to 420 of the family's 1533-position model. The record is from RNAcentral.